This 253-nucleotide ribosomal RNA is filed under the name uncultured bacterium. Its description in RNAcentral is "partial 16S ribosomal RNA". It matches the Rfam family "Bacterial small subunit ribosomal RNA", at positions 524 to 776 of the family's 1533-position model. The record is from RNAcentral.
UACGUAGGGGGCAAGCGUUGUCCGGAAUCAUUGGGCGUAAAGCGCGCGUAGGCGGCCAGAUAAGUCCGGUGUGAAAGUCAAAGGCUCAACCUUUGAAUGCCGCUGGAAACUGGCUGGCUAGAGUCCGGAAGGGGCGAGUGGAACUCCUGGUGUAGCGGUGAAAUGCGCAGAUAUCAGGAAGAACACCAAUGGCGAAGGCAGCUCGCUAGGACGGUACUGACGCUGAGGCGCGAAAGCCAGGGGAGCAAACGGG